GGGUCAGCCGGAUUGUGGAGGACGGGGAUCGACAGGCCGGGCCCAGACCCAUGAUAAAUAUUUUCAAGGGGUGAGACCUGAGACUCGAAUAUGGCUUGCCAACUCCUUAUUAUAAUUCUCUUUAAUUUCAACCAUACAGUCAACAUUCUUAUCAUUAAUUGGAUAUGAAGUCACUGCAACACCUGAUCAACAUCAAGUUAGUCACAACCAAUUACCCAGGGAGUAUAUCGUUUCUUUACUGACUUUGUGAAGUGGAGAGUGGAUGUCUGCAUCAACCUUUCUAGUCUUAAGCUUGGUCGCUUGCAACUGCAGCAAUCUGCUCUGAGGACAGUGUCAAGUGAGAAGUUUGAUUAAAGCAGCACAUCUGUCAAAAAGUAAUGCAGGUUAUGCCCACUAAUGGGCUGCCAAUAGGAACUCCAACAGGAGUGCCUAUUGGCGGCUCAUUAGCGGGCAUUAUGGCUGAGCUUAUAGUUAGGCAUAAAGAAGUUGAUGUAAUACACAAGCUUGCUACUGAGUUCAAGUUGUAUGCCAGGUACGUGGAUGACAUAUGUGUCAUAUGGAAACAAGCUGACCAUGGUACCAGUUUGGCUAAUAUGCU
Molecule: long non-coding RNA, 598 nt
Filed under: Androctonus crassicauda
Lineage: Eukaryota; Metazoa; Arthropoda; Arachnida; Scorpiones; Buthidae
Source: RNAcentral